This 376-nucleotide ribosomal RNA is filed under the name Sphingomonas sp. oral taxon A66. RNAcentral describes it as "bacterial SSU rRNA". It matches the Rfam family "Bacterial small subunit ribosomal RNA", at positions 29 to 430 of the family's 1533-position model. Lineage: Bacteria; Pseudomonadati; Pseudomonadota; Alphaproteobacteria; Sphingomonadales; Sphingomonadaceae. The record is from RNAcentral.
AACGAACGCUGGCGGCAUGCCUAACACAUGCAAGUCGAACGAACCCUUCGGGGUUAGUGGCGCACGGGUGCGUAACGCGUGGGAAUCUGCCCUUUGCUUCGGAAUAACAGUUAGAAAUGACUGCUAAUACCGGAUGAUGUCUUCGGACCAAAGAUUUAUCGGCAAAGGGUGAGCCCGCGUAGGAUUAGGUAGUUGGUGGGGUAAAGGCCUACCAAGCCGACGAUCCUUAGCUGGUCUGAGAGGAUGAUCAGCCACACUGGGACUGAGACACGGCCCAGACUCCUACGGGAGGCAGCAGUGGGGAAUAUUGGACAAUGGGCGCAAGCCUGAUCCAGCAAUGCCCGCGUGAGUGAUGAAGGCCUUUCGGGUCGUAAAG